GUGCUCGCUUUGGCAGCACAUAUGCUAAAAAUUGGAAUGAUACAGAAAAGAUUUGCUUAUCCCCUGAGCAAGGAUGACACACAAAUUCGUGAAGCAUUCUAUAUUUAA
Molecule: small nuclear RNA, 108 nt
Organism: Otolemur garnettii (small-eared galago)
Lineage: Eukaryota; Metazoa; Chordata; Mammalia; Primates; Galagidae
Source: Ensembl